RNAcentral lists this small nuclear RNA (141 nucleotides) under Carlito syrichta (Philippine tarsier). RNAcentral describes it as "U4 spliceosomal RNA (ENSTSYG00000029343.1)". It matches the Rfam family "U4 spliceosomal RNA". Rfam says of the family: U4 small nuclear RNA (U4 snRNA) is a component of the major U2-dependent spliceosome. Lineage: Eukaryota; Metazoa; Chordata; Mammalia; Primates; Tarsiidae. The record is from Rfam by way of RNAcentral.
AGAUUUGUGCAGUGGCAGUAUCGUAGCCAAUGAGGUUUAUCCUAGGCAUGAUUAUUGCUAAUUGAAAAUUUUUCCCAAUACCCGGCCAUGAUGACUUGAAAUAUAGUUGGCAUUGGCAAUUUUUGACAGUCCCUACAGAGA